This is an RNA transcript of Dromaius novaehollandiae (emu), 7074 nucleotides long. It is a transcript of the gene named HPS3 biogenesis of lysosomal organelles complex 2 subunit 1, with no coding region annotated. The transcript has 19 exons. Lineage: Eukaryota; Metazoa; Chordata; Aves; Casuariiformes; Dromaiidae. The record is from RefSeq and is a predicted model, not a curated record.
GGCGGCCCCGCCGCGUAGCACAGUGCCGAGGCCCGCGCGCAGCCGCGCAGGGCGGCUCCGGCUCCGGCUCCGGCGCGGCGCAGACCCCUCCCCCGGCCGGUGCGGCGCCGCGGAAGUGCGGCAGCGCCGCGGCGGGUGUUGCAGUCGCGCGGCCCUGGGCGGCCUGCGGGGGCCAUGGUGCAGCUUUACAACCUGCACCCUUUCGGGUCGCAGCAAGUGGUGCCCUGCAAGCAGGAGCCAGCGCACUUCUGCUGCGGCCAAGACGAGCUCUUCGUGGCCUGCGCGGCGGCCAGCUGCAGGGUGGAGGUGUUCGCGGUGCGCGACCAGGGCCGCUGCGAAUCCCUGGGCUCCUUCGCCACGCUGGGCCCUGUGCUGCGCAUGGCGCACAGCCGCGCAGGAGACUAUGUGGUAACAAUUGAAGAGAAAAACAAAGCGACUUUCCUAAGGGCGUAUACGAACUGGAGAUGCAUGUCAGCUGGGAGCUCUCGUGUGUGUGUCCGGAUGGUGGGUCACAAGAUGGAAGAGUCAUACAGUGAAACCUUAAAAGAACAGAUGUCAAUUGUGGAAAUGCCACUUUCAGAUCCUCCACUGUGCAUUUCAUGUUGUCCUGUAAAUGGAAAUCUUCUUGUGGGCUGCAAAAAUAAACUAGUUAUAUUCUCUUUGAAAUAUCUGGUCAUAAACCAGAAUUUGACUGUGUUGGACUUUGAACGCUCCUUGAUUUUACACAUCGAUAACGUAAGUCCUGCUGAAGUUGCGUUUUGUGCCAGACAUAUAGCCGUAACAACAGAGCUGGAUGUUCUGAUCCUGAAACUGGAACUGGUCCAACGAGGUGCAGACAACACAGGGCAGUGUGCGCACAGCACUAGUACACUAGAAGAGCCUGGGGAUAGAGGUAUAAAAGAUGAAGGCCCUUCAACACAUACUCUGCAGCUUGAUUCAGAUGAGUUUGUCAUUUGUCAGAAGCCAGUGGAACUGCUUGGGGAAGAAAGUAAGCUAUGUGAGAUACCUGUCACACUGGAAUCAACAGGAUUAGCUACAGAAGGUACAGAGCACUUCCAAGUGCAGUAUCUGCUUUUCAGACGUUUUACACCUGACCAGUCGCCUUUUGGCUUUUGUGAAGAGACGAAGUUGCACUCUCUUCAGCUGCUUCCUAUAUACCAGACAGGAAGUUCUGUGACAGCCCAUGGAGAAACUGAGAACAAGAGAGAACUAUUGAGUCUCUUUUGCUUUUUCUCUUUACCUCAUGUUGGAUAUCUCUACUCUAUUGGGAAGUUAGUAGAACUGAUCUCUACUUACCAAUAUUCAGAGAAGUCAGAGCAGGCAGUUCUCACUCCACAAUUCCUGCAUGUCAUUACAAGUGAGAACCUACAGUGUUUCACAGUGCGGUGCAGUGCAGCAGCAGCUCGUGAUGAGGAUCCGUACAUAGAUACGACUGUGAAGGCUUGUCCACCUGUGUCGCUGGAUGUCUGCACAUUGAGAAUGCAGCUUUUCAUAGGCCCAAGAGCUAUCUGUCAUUUCAAAAACCAUGUCAUCCUUCUGAUUAAGGCCGACACAGAAGAUAUUACUGAAAGAAGAAAACCUACCAGAAGGAUACUUUCCAGAAAGGCCGACAGCAUCAAAUCCAGAAAAACUCCUGAUUCAGAAUCUGGCUGGAAUUUAUAUAUUGUAAACACUGUUUCAACUGUCCAGCUUUACAGAGAAAUGGUGGAUUAUAGUAGAACAUAUGAAAAUGUAAAAACUGAGAGUUGCAUCCAUCUUCUAAGUGAAGCUCACUUGUUAGUCAGAGCAGCUAUAAUGGACCCCAGUUUCCUUAAAUCAGAUGAAAAAGAAGAACUUCUAACAGCAUUUAGAGAAAGUUGUGCUUUCCUAGGAGACUGCUACAGCAGGUUUGACACAAAGGAUUACCACCUUGCUUUGCCUUACUACAGAAUGUCUGGUUUAUCCAUGACGGAAGUUUUAGAGAGGCUAGUUUCAGAAGGUGAUGAAACACACAAAUAUGAGAGAGGAUUUAUAUUUUACUUAACUCACUUUCUUAAUGAAGACUUAAAUGAAGAAUUAAGUCAGGAAUCGGCAACUAAAGUUCUCCAAAUAUUCUAUCUUACUGAACCUGUCCAGCUGCCACAUAUCCUCUGCAGUCCCUGCAUGAGGAAUGUAUGUCCUUUGACAGCCAUGAAUUAUCUUCAGAAGAUAGAAAAGAUUAUGCCAUCAGUGGUCCUGACACUUACUAAGGCUUCCCUGGCUCUGAAAAUGGGAGACCUGAUGAUGUAUAAACAUGAGAUGGACUCCUAUAAGGAGACAGUACUGGUGUGUGGCUUCAUUGGGCAGCCAAAACUCUUGAGACAGCAUAAGGAAGGAAUUGUUAUUCCGACUGAAUUUGCUAUUCAUCUGAAGGAGACGCAACCUGGGUUACUGGUGGCCGCCACUGUGGCUUUAUAUGAGAACAGGAAAAUUGAACUGGAAGAAACGGAUACCUUUUUCAAGACAGUGUGUAACAACAGUGAAAACACUAUCCCUCAGCUCUUAGUAGAUUUUUGGGAAGCUCUUCUUGUAGUAUGCUCUCAGGAAGAAGUACUUCAGGAACUCUUAUUGAGGGUUACUUCUCAGUAUGUUUGGAGAAUAUCAAAGAGGCAAUUUCCUGACACCAAACCACUGAAAACAACAGAGGAUCUGAUAAAUUCCUGUAAUCAUUUUGGGUUGAUUUUCCCCUGGGUAACUUUCAUAAUGUCAGCGGGAUCUCCAUCUGAUAAAAGUUAUCCUGAAGAUAUCUCAAAACUACAGUCUAUUUUAUGUAGUCAGUCAAUCAAUGUAACUUCAGCUCUGCCUUUCUUGGAGCCUCUGUCAGAGGACGGCAAUGUUGGCCUCACCAUCCAUGUUCUCUGCAGUACGCGUCUCGGAAAGUAUGAGGAUUCCCUUGACCUGCUUCUGAAAAAGUGUCCUGAUGCAGUUGUAUUAUAUGCUCAGCAUGAACUGAAAGAUGACAAUCGGGCUAUGUGGUGGAACAAGCUGCUUCCUGAACUUUGCAAGAGAACCAAACUUACUGGAAAUUACUGUCCUGUUCAUAUUUCAUCACUGAAAGAAACUUUAUCUGUUGUUGCAAUGGAUCUGGAACUAAGGGAUUUCCUCAAUGUUCUACCAGAGGAUGGAACCGCAGCAUUUUUCCUGCCACAUCUUCUUCACUGCAGCCAAAGGAAACCGUUGACCUGUAGCCAGUGAAAGUCGUCUACGCACUCAAAUACCAAGGAUGCGCUGGAAUAAAAAAGUAAAUGAAACAGUAGAACUCCACAGAGAGUAUUGUGGGACUCACCCUACACAUUAGCCACCCUGUGUCUGAGUUGAAACCUUAUUAUGGAAUGACAACUACUGUCUCAGGCAGAGCAUCUCUCUUGAAGAUGACAGAAAACAGUACUGUUGCACAUUGACAGAAGUCAGCUAUCCAGAAGAAUUCCUGUCAGCCUAAACAAAAAUGCACCGAAUAGUACUGGACUGUCUAUGGAUAGCUGAGUAGGAACAACCCAAUCUAGUGCUUCUCUAGGACCCUCAUUUCACACAUCCGUGUGCUAAAACUAGCAACUAAACGGAAAUGAAGAAGGAAAAAAAAAAAAGUUGUUCUCUUACCACAGCCAUGAAAAUUCACAGCGAACUUGUCAGAGCAACUUGUUAAGUUUCCGUACAAUAAACCCUGGCAGAUAAUUAUCUGACUCUCUUGUGUAUUGAUCAAAUACAAAAUACCAUAAGGUCGAAUUAAAAAACUGCUACUUAAUAUUUUAACAUCUGACUUUUCACAAGAGGUUACACUCCUUGGUAUUUGGUCCAACUCUCAACAUAGCAGAAAAAAAAAAGGAUGGAAAGGGCCUGUUACCUUAUAAUCAAAGCUGUGGCCAUGGAAGUGUGCUGUGUGAAUAUCUACUUCGUUGCCCAUUCCCAUCAAAUACCAGCUUACUUUAUCCCCAACAUGCAUAGUCAGACCAUGUAAGUUCCCAAACACCUUUCCAUUAAUGGCUAGAGAGAGAGAGAGAACAAACUAGAAUAAGAUUUUUGUGUCAUAUUAUUCUCUAGGCUUUAAUAGAAUGCAAGAAUUUAAAGCUACUACUAGGCAAAAGGAAUUGCUUUGAAUGAGCUAUUAAAAAAAAAAAGAAAGAAAAACCUAUAUUGAAAUAGUAUAUUAUCUCCUUACCAAAAAAAAAAAAAAGCAUAUUAUGAAUAGGUCUGAUUAUAUCUUGCAUAUUUGACUAGAAAGUAAGUAGUUAAAAGUCCUUUACCAUGCAUCAUUGCUAACACCAGUGCUGUUCUCAAGCAUCUGCAUUACCCAUGGCUCUUUGUGAAGGCUAAGCUUUACCAGAAUGUGCUUUCAGGAUAGAUACUGUAUUGCCAACUUUUCCAGAAUAGUUGUUUGCUAACAUCAAAUCAAAUUUUCAAAUUUCAUUUUUACUCUCUUAUCACAGUUGCAAAGUGGAACCAUUUUUUUUUUUUUUAAGAGAGAUCAACAAUAUUCUGAAAUAGCAUGAGGGAAAUUUUUCAGGCCUUUUACCCUGUAACUAGAAAUUCACAGAGGAUGAGAAAGUCAAAUUUAUAUACAGUGCUUUGAAAUACAUAAUUUUAUAGAGUGUUUUUGUUCUUGUUUUUUGGGUUUUUUUCAAGAAUAACAUUAAUUAGAGAAACGUACCAUGCAUUUUAUUACUUUCAAGGAAUUCCUCAUCCUCUUUGUCAACAAGGUGUGGGUUGGUAGAGUAGGUUUUAAUGUUUUCAUCCAAGUACCAUGACUCAUUCUCAUCGAAAACCAUAAAAAGAAGAGCAAAUUGAACUUUCUCUUUAGCAUGAAAUGAUGGCAAAUAAUGUCUAUGACACACAACAAGUGUGCCUAUUAAUCCACUGUAAGUGUCCUGAAAUUACAAAUGAAAAAAAAUCAAAAAAAUUACAUGACGAAUACAAGCAGAAGCAUUUUUUAAUAACAGACAUGAAUGCUCUUAUCAUUUUUACAGACUUCAGUAUUUGACAAUAAGGUUAUUUCUUGAUUGUUAUGUGCUACCCACAGAUUGAGUUCAUUGGACUAUGAAGAGUAACUGCUUUUUUUGUGUGUCUUGCUAGAGAUAAACUUUUAGUCCAUUUUCAUUUCUUGCUCAUGUCCUUUUUUUGUUUCCAAUUUCUUUUUAGGUUUAAGGAUUUUUUUUUUAGUUGUUUUCCUCUCAAAAUUUGUUUCAUGCUUUCAAAAUGAAAGCCCUCUUAGCACUUUUCCAUUCGUCUUUGUGAGACAUGAAGAGUGUGCAUUAAUUUGAAUUAAAAAAAAAAAAAGGAUUACUUAAGUAAGGAUAGAGGGUGCUUGUACAAAAAUGGCAUAUUUGUGUUCCACAGUUGCACAUAUAAGUUUUCCCACAUGAUUGAUUAGCUAUUGAGAAAGCUAUAAAAUGUUUGCUUUAAAAAUGAAUCUGAAUGAGGUGAUGUAUACCAACAACAAAAGACUGAGGGAGCAAGAACACAAGGGAAUGUGACUUCCUAAUUCUGCCCUGACUUUCUUGCAUUAUUCGAAAGACAAUUCAAACAUAUGGUAAUAGGGCGGAUGACUUGACAGAGAAAGCACAUAGAGCUUCAAACUCAUCUCCCUUUUGUUGUAAGUGUAUCUGUGUUGAAGUCAUGAAAUCAAAACGCUUUAAACUAACUGCUGUUAACAAUAUACCUUGAUGAUGUCCACAGUUGAAUGGUAUGCCCAGGCGAUACAGUGUGGAUCUCCUCGCCCAGAACUAGAUCUCUCAGGGAUUUUCCAGACGUACAUUUUUGUUUCACCUGUAUUAAACAAAUGCUGGUGAUUUUUUUUAAGUUUUGUUUUCUGCCGAUCUCUAAGAGGUUGUGCUGAAAAAGAUGCUAUUUUCAUUUACAGCUUAUUUUUGUCUUGAACUUCCUCUUCCCAUGUACUGCACUGUCUGGCGUCUUAUUAUUUCCCUUCUGCGGAUUCCUGACUUUCCCUGCCAGUGUUCCUUUGUGUGACUGCACUGUCCAGUUUACCAUGUUUAAUAAAACUAAUUGUAUCUUUUGUAAAGAUCACAGAAUAACUUUUGAAAGAACAGAUAACAUAAGCCAUACUCUCCCUAUAUAGCCAAAUCUGUUUUGCUUACAUGAAAGGUGCAGCAAAACUUUGUCAAAAAACUACUGAUUUGUCCAGGGCUAGCAUAUGUAGCAAUAAUUAGCAGGGAUAUUUUAAGUGCAGAAAUAUCAAUAACAAGCAGCUUCAUAAAAAAUCUAAGAAGCUGAGGUUAAAAAUAUCUUUCAUGCUAUUCUAACUUGAAAGCUUGCUAAAUCUUACUAUAAGGCCUGAAGUUACCUGUGAGAAUUAAGCAAGUGGAUGUUUGAUACCUGGGUUAGUUACGGCAACAGCAGAACUGUCUGUUUUCACUCCAUGGGCAUGUAUAGAAUAAGGUCGUGAUGCCAAGUUCUUAAAAACUACUAUAAUUUUAUCUCCAAUAUUUGACAUAAGCAAUGGCCCUAUUGGAUUGAAAAGAAAGAUUAAGUUGGUUUUACAACUGAUCAGAGCUGAAAGAGUUUAUUGUGUUCAGAGAUACAAUAACAUUGGGAUAUAAUUAAACUGAAAACUAGACAUGGACAAUAUGCAUUCACUAUGCUAUACAAACUUUAGUAGCUGAAGUUAGGCAUCUAAACAGAGUCCUAAUUUUCAAAAGUUCGGAGUAUCUGCUGUGUAUUUUUGGUCAGCUUAGAUGUGGCUGCAUAAUUUUAUGCCAACUUUGGAAACAGUGACCUGUGACCAGGCACAAAACCAGAAGUUUUCUCUUGUAAAGCAAGCACGGUAAUAUAUAAUACACAGUGAUAUGUAAGUAGCAAUUACAUGUAGGUUUAGGCACUUAGUGUGGGUAGAGCUAGGCUUGGUAUUACUAAAAUAACAUCUGUUUUGUUUCACUGCAUUUUUCCCAGCUCUGAAACUGAACUUCAUGAUGACUUACCUUGAAUUCCCAGAUGCUGCUGCUCCUCAGCUCUUUUUUUGGGAGUGCUGAAUGUCUGAUCGGUGUAUUCACGAUAUACAACCUUUCUGUAUUUUGAACCAAUAAAUUUGUCUUCUUUAUUUAAAAA